Molecule: non-coding RNA, 72 nt
Organism: Ictidomys tridecemlineatus (thirteen-lined ground squirrel)
Lineage: Eukaryota; Metazoa; Chordata; Mammalia; Rodentia; Sciuridae
Source: Rfam
GAGGAUGUGGCUCAGUGGUAGAGCACUUGCCUAGCAUGUGUGAGACACUGGAUUCAAUUCUCAGCAUCAUAU